AUCACAACUGAAAGCACAAGUUUUCAGUCUAUUGCUUUUUAAAUUACCCAUCAAAUAACUUUCCUUAUUUCUGAAGUGUCUUUCAGACAACCUUAGCUUUUCAUUUAGCUAUUUUCCAAGAAUCAACAAAUCAUAAGCUGUUCUUUCUAAAUAUUUGAAAUCAUUUGACUCAAGAGGACGCUGUUGGUAAGUGUUCCCUUUUGAAGGGUUUGUUGCUGUCAUCAAAAUAAUUGUGCUUUUAGGGUUUCUCACUAGACUGGAUCUAACUCAGUGGAAGAAGCAGUUGCAACAGUGAAGGGGACUGUGCAAGUCUCACAUCCAGAACACACCUCUGUGGGAGCUGCCGACACCAGAGCGAUGGAAAGGAAGUCCAGGAGGAAAAGAAAGACCUGCUCCUGUUUCUCAUGGUUAUGGAGCUGCAGAUGUUAUUUGAGAUGAAGUUAAUG
Molecule: long non-coding RNA, 446 nt
Organism: Cyprinus carpio carpio
Lineage: Eukaryota; Metazoa; Chordata; Actinopteri; Cypriniformes; Cyprinidae
Source: Ensembl